AAACUUUCAACAACGGAUCUCUUGGCUCUAGCAUCGAUGAAGAACGCAGCGAAAUGCGAUAAGUAAUGUGAAUUGCAGAACUCAGUGAAUCAUCGAAUCUUUGAACGCACAUUGCGCCUGGCAGUAUUCUGCCAGGCAUGCCUGUCCGAGCGUCAUUU
RNAcentral lists this ribosomal RNA (158 nucleotides) under Ceratocystis cercfabiensis. Its description in RNAcentral is "5.8S ribosomal RNA". It matches the Rfam family "5.8S ribosomal RNA". Rfam says of the family: 5.8S ribosomal RNA (5.8S rRNA) is a component of the large subunit of the eukaryotic ribosome. It is transcribed by RNA polymerase I as part of the 45S precursor that also contains 18S and 28S rRNA. Lineage: Eukaryota; Fungi; Ascomycota; Sordariomycetes; Microascales; Ceratocystidaceae. The record is from RNAcentral.